RNAcentral lists this ribosomal RNA (253 nucleotides) under uncultured bacterium. Its description in RNAcentral is "partial 16S ribosomal RNA". It matches the Rfam family "Bacterial small subunit ribosomal RNA", at positions 524 to 776 of the family's 1533-position model. The record is from RNAcentral.
UACGUAGGGGGCUAGCGUUGUCCGGAAUCAUUGGGCGUAAAGAGCGUGUAGGCGGCCCGGUAAGUCCGCUGUGAAAGUCCAGGGCUCAACCCUGGAAAGCGGGUGGAUACUGCCGGGCUAGAAUCCGGAAGAGGCGAGUGGAAUUCCUGGUGUAGCGGUGGAAUGCGCAGAUAUCAGGAGGAACACCAAUAGCGAAGGCAGCUCGCUGGGACGGUAUUGACGCUAAGGCGCGAAAGCGUGGGGAGCAAACAGG